RNAcentral lists this ribosomal RNA (227 nucleotides) under uncultured bacterium. RNAcentral's name for it is "partial 16S ribosomal RNA". It matches the Rfam family "Bacterial small subunit ribosomal RNA", at positions 29 to 239 of the family's 1533-position model. The record is from RNAcentral.
AACUAACGCUGGCGGCGUGCCUAACACAUGCAAGUCGAACGAGAAAGUUGGCUUCGGCCGAUGAGUAAAGUGGCGCACGGGUGAGUAACGCGUGGAUAAUCUGCCCUUUAGUUUGGAAUAACGUACCGAAAGGUGCGCUAAUACCGGAUAAUACUGAAUGACUACUGUCGUUUAGUCAAAGAAGGCUUCUGUUUACAUGCUUUUGCUGAAGGAUGAGUCCGCGUACC